RNAcentral lists this ribosomal RNA (409 nucleotides) under Yarrowia sp. RNAcentral's name for it is "partial 26S ribosomal RNA". It matches the Rfam family "Eukaryotic large subunit ribosomal RNA", at positions 85 to 516 of the family's 3401-position model. Lineage: Eukaryota; Fungi; Ascomycota; Dipodascomycetes; Dipodascales. The record is from RNAcentral.
CACGGCGAGUGAGCGGCAAAGCUCAAUUUGAAACCCUCGGGAUUGUAAUUUGAAGAUUUGGCAUUGGAGAAAGCUAACCCGAGUUGCUUGGAAUACUACGUCAUAGAGGGUGACAACCCCGUCUGGCUAACCGUUCUCCAUGUAUUGCCUUAUCGCACAGUCUAGUUGUUUGGGAAUGCGGCUCAUAGUGGGUGGUAAACUCCCUCUCAAGCUAAAUACUGGUGAGAGACCGAUAGCGAACAAGUACUGUGAAGGAAAGGUGAAAAGAACUUUGAAAAGAGAGUGAAAUAGUAUGUGAAAUUGUUGAUAGGGAAGGAAAUGAGUGGAGAGUGGCGGAGGUUUCAUCCGCCCCUCUUGGGCGGUGUACUGCCGACCCCUAGUCAUCCAAGGCGAGACGAUGGUUACAAAU